CGGGGCGUGGCGCAGUUUGGUAGCGCACCCGCUUUGGGAGCGGGGGGUCGCAGGUUCAAAUCCUGUCGCCCCGA
This is a transfer RNA of Nocardia sp. NRRL S-836, 74 nucleotides long. It matches the Rfam family "tRNA". From Rfam's summary of the family: Transfer RNA (tRNA) molecules are approximately 80 nucleotides in length. Their secondary structure includes four short double-helical elements and three loops (D, anti-codon, and T loops). Further hydrogen bonds mediate the characteristic L-shaped molecular structure. tRNAs have two regions of fundamental functional importance: the anti-codon, which is responsible for specific mRNA codon recognition, and the 3' end, to which the tRNAs corresponding amino acid is attached (by aminoacyl-tRNA synthetases). tRNAs cope with the degeneracy of the genetic code in two manners: having more than one tRNA (with a specific anti-codon) for a particular amino acid; and 'wobble' base-pairing, i.e. permitting non-standard base-pairing at the 3rd anti-codon position. NCBI's taxonomy places the organism in Bacteria, Bacillati, Actinomycetota, Actinomycetes, Mycobacteriales, Nocardiaceae. The record is from Rfam.